Molecule: ribosomal RNA, 693 nt
Filed under: Klebsiella pneumoniae
Lineage: Bacteria; Pseudomonadati; Pseudomonadota; Gammaproteobacteria; Enterobacterales; Enterobacteriaceae
Description: bacterial SSU rRNA
Rfam family: Bacterial small subunit ribosomal RNA
Source: RNAcentral
AAAUUGAAGAGUUUGAUCAUGGCUCAGAUUGAACGCUGGCGGCAGGCCUAACACAUGCAAGUCGAGCGGUAGCACAGAGAGCUUGCUCUCGGGUGACGAGCGGCGGACGGGUGAGUAAUGUCUGGGAAACUGCCUGAUGGAGGGGGAUAACUACUGGAAACGGUAGCUAAUACCGCAUAAUGUCGCAAGACCAAAGUGGGGGACCUUCGGGCCUCAUGCCAUCAGAUGUGCCCAGAUGGGAUUAGCUAGUAGGUGGGGUAACGGCUCACCUAGGCGACGAUCCCUAGCUGGUCUGAGAGGAUGACCAGCCACACUGGAACUGAGACACGGUCCAGACUCCUACGGGAGGCAGCAGUGGGGAAUAUUGCACAAUGGGCGCAAGCCUGAUGCAGCCAUGCCGCGUGUGUGAAGAAGGCCUUCGGGUUGUAAAGCACUUUCAGCGGGGAGGAAGGCGAUAAGGUUAAUAACCUUGUCGAUUGACGUUACCCGCAGAAGAAGCACCGGCUAACUCCGUGCCAGCAGCCGCGGUAAUACGGAGGGUGCAAGCGUUAAUCGGAAUUACUGGGCGUAAAGCGCACGCAGGCGGUCUGUCAAGUCGGAUGUGAAAUCCCCGGGCUCAACCUGGGAACUGCAUUCGAAACUGGCAGGCUAGAGUCUUGUAGAGGGGGGUAGAAUUCCAGGUGUAGCGGUGAA